Molecule: ribosomal RNA, 677 nt
Filed under: uncultured bacterium
Lineage: Bacteria
Description: bacterial SSU rRNA
Rfam family: Bacterial small subunit ribosomal RNA
Source: RNAcentral
GUCGAACGAGCGAGAGGGAGCUUGCUUUCUCGAGCGAGUGGCGAACGGGUGAGUAACGCGUGAGGAACCUGCCUCAAAGAGGGGGACAACAGUUGGAAACGACUGCUAAUACCGCAUAAGCCCACGGGUCGGCAUCGACCAGAGGGAAAAGGAGCAAUCCGCUUUGAGAUGGCCUCGCGUCCGAUUAGCUAGUUGGUGAGGUAACGGCCCACCAAGGCAACGAUCGGUAGCCGGACUGAGAGGUUGAACGGCCACAUUGGGACUGAGACACGGCCCAGACUCCUACGGGAGGCAGCAGUGGGGAAUAUUGCACAAUGGGGGAAACCCUGAUGCAGCGACGCCGCGUGGAGGAAGAAGGUCUUCGGAUUGUAAACUCCUGUUGUUGAGGAAGAUAAUGACGGUACUCAACAAGGAAGUGACGGCUAACUACGUGCCAGCAGCCGCGGUAAAACGUAGGUCACAAGCGUUGUCCGGAAUUACUGGGUGUAAAGGGAGCGCAGGCGGGAAGACAAGUUGGAAGUGAAAUCCAUGGGCUCAACCCAUGAACUGCUUUCAAAACUGUUUUUCUUGAGUAGUGCAGAGGUAGGCGGAAUUCCCGGUGUAGCGGUGGAAUGCGUAGAUAUCGGGAGGAACACCAGUGGCGAAGGCGGCCUACUGGGCACCAACUGACGCUGAGG